RNAcentral lists this long non-coding RNA (613 nucleotides) under Phasianus colchicus (ring-necked pheasant). RNAcentral's name for it is "lncRNA (ENSPCLG00000010439.1)". Lineage: Eukaryota; Metazoa; Chordata; Aves; Galliformes; Phasianidae. The record is from RNAcentral.
CUAAAGCUGUCUGGUGAUCAUUCUUAUUGAAAGACUCUGUGGAAUAGUCACAUCACCUAUUCUAAAGUGAAAAGGAAAAAAAAAAAAAAAAAAAGUGUCCCUAAAGACAAGGGAGAAUGGAUAGCAAUGGUAUCUUCUGUCAGUAAUUGAUUCUUCUGUCAGUAGUUAACUAGAGCAGUGGCCUGGUAUGACAGCCCUGCAUAGAAAAGCAGCCAGUCAAAAGCCUUUCUGACAAGGCUGACAAGGUGGAUAUGAUCUCUGAAAAUUGAGUUUAGGAUUGACUUCAUUGAAUGGAUAAAUGAAAAAUGGUAACGGUUGUGCCAGUUCUGUUGUAGUGCAGCUAAUUGGACUGAGGAAUGCAUGGUUUGGGAUAAAUUCAUCUGUCUUGAUCACCAAUGACUUAAAGGUUGUUCUGUAUUUUGUUUUGCAGAGGAAGCUAUAUCCAGAAUUCUUUGGACAGGAAACACUGGACUCAGUUUCAGAGUUUUCAUCCAUGAAGGCUGGAGAAAAUCUGCCUGGAACUCUCACUGCAAAGAGUCAUAGCCCUGUUCUUAAAGCUAGAAGCAUGUCUGGAGAUGUAUGCAAUGGGUGAUAUUUUAUAGAUUGGUUUAUA